CCUACGGGGGGCAGCAGUGAGGAAUAUUGGUCAAUGGACGAGAGUCUGAACCAGCCAAGUAGCGUGAAGGAUGACUGCCCUAUGGGUUGUAAACUUCUUUUAUAUGGGAAUAAAACGUUCCACGUGUGGGAUUUUGUAUGUACCAUAUGAAUAAGGAUCGGCUAACUCCGUGCCAGCAGCCGCGGUAAUACGGAGGAUCCGAGCGUUAUCCGGAUUUAUUGGGUUUAAAGGGAGCGUAGGAGGAUUGUUAAGUCAGUUGUGAAAGUUUGCGGCUCAACCGUAAAAUUGCAGUUGAAACUGGCAGUCUUGAGUACAGUAGAGGUGGGCGGAAUUCGUGGUGUAGCGGUGAAAUGCUUAGAUAUCACGAAGAACUCCGAUUGCGAAGGCAGUUCACUGGACUGCAACUGACACUGAGGCUCGAAAGUGUGGGUAUCAAACAGGAUUAGAUACCCCUGUAGUC
RNAcentral lists this ribosomal RNA (460 nucleotides) under uncultured bacterium. RNAcentral's name for it is "partial 16S ribosomal RNA". It matches the Rfam family "Bacterial small subunit ribosomal RNA", at positions 338 to 795 of the family's 1533-position model. The record is from RNAcentral.